GGAAGUAAAAGUCGUAACAAGGUUUCCGUAGGUGAACCUGCGGAAGGAUCAUUAAAAAAUAAUCACAGUUUUGUGAUUUUAAUAAUCAUCCUACCCUUUGUGAAUUUGUUUUGUUUGAAAAUUUAUGUUGUCUAUCCCUGGUGGUUUUGGAAAAGUUGAAAAACUUUUUCUAAUCCCAGGGACUAGGCUUUCAUAGACCUUUUUUUAAAUUAAACUUUUUGUAUUCAUUUGUCUAAAUUUAUUUUUAAUAAUUUAAAAACAACUUUUGACAAUGGAUCUCUUGGUUCUCGCAACGAUGAAGAACGCAGCAAAAUGCGAUAAGUAAUGUGAAUUGCAGAAUACGUGAAUCAUCAAAUCUUCGAACGCAUAUUGCACUUUUCUAGUUUACUAGAAAAGUAUGUCUGUUUGAGUAUCAGUAAAAUAUUCUCAUAAAAACAUUGUUUUUAUGGUUAUGAGUGUUUUACAACGAUAAACAAGUUGUUUCACUUUAAAUUGAUUUUUAAAAGCCAAUUUUGGUUUUAUCUAAUAAAAUUGGAUAAAAUUUUCCCGUAAAAAGGAAUAACUUUUCAGUUUUAAAAGGUAAAACUUUAGUUGAGCCUAAUUAAAAGGAAAUUUAACAAGAUAACUUGAUCUCAAAUCAGAUAAGAGUACCCGCUGAACUUAAGCAUAUCAAUAAGCGGAGGAA
Molecule: ribosomal RNA, 685 nt
Filed under: fungal sp. Tianzhu-Yak6
Lineage: Eukaryota; Fungi
Description: eukaryotic LSU rRNA
Rfam family: 5.8S ribosomal RNA (bases 261-415)
Source: RNAcentral